RNAcentral lists this unclassified non-coding RNA (219 nucleotides) under Hevea brasiliensis (rubber tree). The record is from RNAcentral. Lineage: Eukaryota; Viridiplantae; Streptophyta; Magnoliopsida; Malpighiales; Euphorbiaceae.
GCAAGUCUUUGCUGGUAAAAGUCACCAUUUUCAGAAAUGUCAAGUAACUUCUUGUUCCCAUUGCUAUAUAUGUUGGAAAAAUUCAGGAUAGUGUUUUUGUAUUGUGAAAUUAGACUUUUUUUAGUCUUCUAUUGGAAGAUUUAGUGGCAGUAAGCUAGAAACUUAGUAGGCAGUUGUGAUAAUUAAGGGCAAUGACCCUCUUUCUAAACUCUUCUGUAG